This 415-nucleotide ribosomal RNA is filed under the name Neisseria flava. RNAcentral describes it as "bacterial SSU rRNA". It matches the Rfam family "Bacterial small subunit ribosomal RNA", at positions 30 to 440 of the family's 1533-position model. Lineage: Bacteria; Pseudomonadati; Pseudomonadota; Betaproteobacteria; Neisseriales; Neisseriaceae. The record is from RNAcentral.
AUUGAACGCGGCGGCAUGCUUUACACAUGCAAGUCGGACGGCAGCACAGAGAAGCUUGCUUCUUGGGUGGCGAGUGGCGAACGGGUGAGUAACAUAUCGGAACGUACCGGGCAGUGGGGGAUAACUAAUCGAAAGAUUAGCUAAUACCGCAUAUUUUCUGAGGAAGAAAGCAGGGGACCAUUUGGCCUUGCGCUGUUUGAGCGGCCGAUAUCUGAUUAGCUAGUUGGUGGGGUGAAGGCCUACCAAGGCGACGAUCAGUGGCGGGUCUGAGAGGAUGAUCCGCCACACUGGGACUGAGACACGGCCCAGACUCCUACGGGAGGCAGCAGUGGGGAAUUUUGGACAAUGGGCGCAAGCCUGAUCCAGCCAUGCCGCGUGUCUGAAGAAGGCCUUCGGGUUGUAAAGGACUUUUGUC